RNAcentral lists this ribosomal RNA (497 nucleotides) under uncultured bacterium. Its description in RNAcentral is "partial 16S ribosomal RNA". It matches the Rfam family "Bacterial small subunit ribosomal RNA", at positions 28 to 507 of the family's 1533-position model. The record is from RNAcentral.
GACGAACGCUGGCGGCGUGCCUAAUACAUGCAAGUUGAGCGAUGAAGCUUGGUGCUUGCCCCAAUUUGAAGAGCAGCGAACGGGUGAGUAACGCGUGGGGAAUCUGCCUUUGAGCGGGGGACAACAUUUGGAAACGAAUGCUAAUACCGCAUAACAACUUUAAACAUAAGUUUUAAGUUUGAAAGAUGCAAUUGCAUCACUCAAAGAUGAUCCCGCGUUGUAUUAGCUAGUUGGUGAGGUAAAGGCUCACCAAGGCGAUGAUACAUAGCCGACCUGAGAGGGUGAUCGGCCACAGUGGGACUGAGACACGGCCCAAACUCCUACGGGAGGCAGCAGUAGGGAAUCUUCGGCAAUGGACGAAAGGCUGACCGAGCAACGCCGCGUGAGUGAAGAAGGGUUUCGGAUCGUAAAACUCUGUUGGUAGAGAAGAACGUUGGUGAGAGUGGAAAGCUCAUCAAGUGACGGUAACUACCCAGAAAGGGACGGCUAACUACGUG